CCGAGUCCAGUGCGACCGCGCCACAAAGGACGAGUGGCUCUUCCCAUGCUGGUACUGAUCCCAUUGCGGCCGCACCAACUGCCCCAGCUCCGGCGCAUGUCCCUCCCGCCAGCUUGUUCAGCUUGCAUAGAGUGCCGGAGGACCAGACAGGGGCUAGCAAGGAGGCAAUGAUCCAAGCGGAGCUGAUGACCCAGUGCCUGAAGGAGGUGUACGAUGCCAACAAGAGAACUUGCGAGCUCGGAGCUCAUUAUGUGUCACUGGAGAAGGAGGAGAACCAACUCCGACUGGAUCUGAAGCCCAUGCGCAGGCGGAGGUGCGGACCAUGAGAGAAACUAUGAAGCAGGCCCUUGUCGACAAGGACAACGAUCUGGUGGGAGCACAGAAGGUGGCGAGAGAGAAAACCAAGGCUGCCAAAGAGAAGUUGGCCGCAAUCGAGAAGCUUGAGGAGGAGAACAAAUCGCUGAAGACUGCUGCUGAGGAGGCGAAGAAGGAGAUCACCGAGCUCAAAAAGCGACAAGCCGAGUGGGAUGGCAAGUUCAAGACUCAAGCGAGUGCUUUCGAGCAGGAGAAGAAGACUUUGAGCGAGAAGAUCGCCCAGC
Long non-coding RNA from Triticum aestivum (bread wheat), 599 nucleotides. RefSeq lists it as uncharacterized. The transcript has 3 exons. Lineage: Eukaryota; Viridiplantae; Streptophyta; Magnoliopsida; Poales; Poaceae. The record is from RefSeq and is a predicted model, not a curated record.